Molecule: unclassified non-coding RNA, 305 nt
Filed under: plant metagenome
Description: partial contains 5.8S ribosomal RNA, internal transcribed spacer 2, and large subunit ribosomal RNA
Rfam family: 5.8S ribosomal RNA (bases 1-105)
Source: RNAcentral
GAAAUGCGAUAAGUAAUGUGAAUUGCAGAAUUCAGUGAAUCAUCGAAUCUUUGAACGCACAUUGUGCCCGCCAGUAUUCUGGCGGGCAUGCCUGUUCGAGCGUCAUUUCAACCAUCAAGCCCCCGGCUUGUGUUGGGGACCUGCGGCUGCCCGCAGGCCCUGAAAAACAGUGGCGGGCUCGCUGUCACACCGAGCGUAGUAGCAUACAUUCUCGCUCAGGGCGUGCUGCGGGUUCCGGCCGUUAAACGACCUUCAUAACCCAAGGUUGACCUCGGAUCAGGUAGGAAGACCCGCUGAACUUAAGC